GCAGUAGCCGCGGUAAUACGGAGGGAGCUAGCGUUGUUCGGAAUUACUGGGCGUAAAGCGCACGUAGGCGGUUAUUCAAGUCAGAGGUGAAAGCCCGGGGCUCAACCCCGGAACUGCCUUUGAAACUAGAUGACUGGAAUCUUGGAGAGGUCAGUGGAAUUCCGAGUGUAGAGGUGAAAUUCGUAGAUAUUCGGAAGAACACCAGUGGCGAAGGCGACUGACUGGACAAGUAUUGACGCUGAGGUGCGAAAGCGUGGGGAGCAAACAGGAUUAGAUACCCGUGUAGUCCCUGUCUCUUAUAC
Molecule: ribosomal RNA, 302 nt
Filed under: uncultured bacterium
Lineage: Bacteria
Description: partial 16S ribosomal RNA
Rfam family: Bacterial small subunit ribosomal RNA
Source: RNAcentral